This 71-nucleotide small nucleolar RNA is filed under the name Oncorhynchus tshawytscha (Chinook salmon). RNAcentral describes it as "Small nucleolar RNA SNORD50". It matches the Rfam family "Small nucleolar RNA SNORD50". Rfam says of the family: U50 belongs to the C/D class of snoRNA which contain the C (UGAUGA) and D (CUGA) box motifs. Most of the members of the box C/D family function in directing site-specific 2'-O-methylation of substrate RNAs. Lineage: Eukaryota; Metazoa; Chordata; Actinopteri; Salmoniformes; Salmonidae. The record is from Rfam by way of RNAcentral.
UAUUAAGGAUGAACCAUCCCGAACCUGAUUCCUGUAAGAUUGACAACCCUGUUGGAUCUGACUUCUGAAAU